GCCCCGCGUCGCCUCCUUCUCCGGUCCCCUCCCCCCUCCCGGCUGCCCCCUUCUCCGCUGCCUCCUCGCCUCCUUCUCCGCCUCCACCCCGGCCCCCGCGAAACAGGAAAAGUGGGGGAAGGAGAAAAAGGAGCGGUUGACCCGAGGGCCGAGUUGAUCGGAGCGCCGGCCGGGGACAGAAGGAGCGCGCUUGGUGACAAGUCAGGUGGAGAAGCUCAAGUCUUGAACUCUGCUUGGUUUCCCAGGUCAUUGUUCAUUAUUUGAACUGGGAAAAGGGAUGGACUUGCAAGAAGAUUAGGAGGGUACCAUAACACAUUCCCUACAGUAAUUAGGGCUUCCCUUAACAAAGCCAAGGCUGGCACCUGGGUAGAUGUUCUUUGUUGAUUACGAAGUCUUAAUGUGGACUAGCUUCAGAAGCUUCUCAGAGCCAAACCGUCAUCUCUUUGCCUUUCUGCUACGAAGACCACACUCCCAUCCAGGCCACCCACCAGGUUCCAUUUGGUGGAACCCCCACCAAGGACACCUUUAGCUGUUGAUUGCUUUAUAGAAUAACCGGGCUGGAUGACAGCCCUGAGCAGUUUGCCAGUGUGGUCUAGUUUUCUAGGUUUCCCUGGUGAGUCAACAGGAAUGUAUCUACUUGUCUCUGGGAAUUGCAGUUCUACAUCAUCACCUAAAGUCUUCCAGAUUUUCCUGAAGAGAGGCAAAUCUGCAACGAGACGAGAAAUCAGUGAUAGGAAGAAAACUGUAAAGGUGUAAAACACAACUGAAAGCUGACUGUUGAAUUAACAUCGUGGUGAACAAGUGAACAGGACAGAAAGGGCUCCAAAUCUCCAGGAGCUGGUGAUCAACCAGGAAAGGGAAACAUUGACCGGACGGGAAAGCCACGAUUCACAGGUCAUCCUUACAAAGGAAGAUGUUUUAUUUCAUUUUGUGUGCCCUGUCAACGAGCACCUAUAUCACACAGCCGUGAUUCCAGAAAGGGGCCUUUGUUGAAUCUGUAUUUGGCUACACCAAUAGAAGAAAGCCAGUCAACAUCAUGUUGUGAUCGUCCCUGGCUCUUUUCUUCCGAGCUGUUUAUGAAGCAGGGAUCUCACAGGAAGCUGGGCUGUAAAGUUCUGGGCAGAGGAUUUGUGAAACCAGUGUUUGGCGGCUGCUAGUCAUUUGACUCAUGAAACUUACCACUAACUGAAAUCUGCAUUUUUGCCUCUUCCUGUUCAUGUUUGAGUCGUUUUAUAAUGCUUCCUGAAAUACUUCACUUAAAAAAGAAGUCAAACAACAAGAACAAUAACAACAACAACAACAAAGCUCUUCCCAACUUGACACCAUUUGAAGCAGUUAGGUCCUUUCCUGAUGGGGCAGUUUGUGCUGCAUACAUUCAGGGCAGGAGAGAUAAAGGGC
This 1398-nucleotide long non-coding RNA is filed under the name Mus musculus (house mouse). RNAcentral's name for it is "predicted gene 12610". The record is from RNAcentral. Lineage: Eukaryota; Metazoa; Chordata; Mammalia; Rodentia; Muridae.